AGUAACGCGUGGGUAACCUGCCUCGUACAGGGGGAUAACAGUUAGAAAUGACUGCUAAUACCGCAUGAGCGCACAGUGCUGCAUGGCACAGUGUGAAAAACUCCGGUGGUAUGAGAUGGACCCGCGUCUGAUUAGCUAGUUGGUGGGGUAACGGCCUACCAAGGCGACGAUCAGUAGCCGGCCUGAGAGGGUGAACGGCCACAUUGGGACUGAGACACGGCCCAA
This 225-nucleotide ribosomal RNA is filed under the name uncultured bacterium. Its description in RNAcentral is "partial 16S ribosomal RNA". It matches the Rfam family "Bacterial small subunit ribosomal RNA", at positions 109 to 334 of the family's 1533-position model. The record is from RNAcentral.